This 2851-nucleotide long non-coding RNA is filed under the name Homo sapiens (human). Its description in RNAcentral is "HSALNT0405282". The record is from RNAcentral. Lineage: Eukaryota; Metazoa; Chordata; Mammalia; Primates; Hominidae.
GCAUGCCAAAUGGGGAAGGGUGGGCUUGGGAGAGUCCCUCCCUAGAGGAGGGAGAAGGAGCCUGCAGAACAGGUUCAAGGGAAUUCAAGGGCUGCCUGGGAGCCUGCACCCCUGUUCCAGCCGAACAUCUUUGUCUCUCGUCUCUCUUGUUCAAUUUUACUGCAUCCCAGUUUUUCUAAAGUCAGGCUCUCAGCAGCCGGGGAUGCUGGCUUCAAGGUCCACAGGAAUGGUGCCUGGGGAAUUUGCAUAGCUACCUUGGCUACAGGCAAGCAAAAGGUUGCCAUGGAAACCCUUCAUCCCUUCUCAGACCUGCAGCCUGUUCUCCCUCCCCUGAUGCUCCAUCCCUCACCUCCCCACCACAAAGGGGCACGGGAAACCAGAGCGCCCCAACAAAGGCAGAUGUACUUAAGGGUUAUCUUUUGAUGCGAGCUGGCUUCCUUGCCUCUGGUCCCCUUCAAACCCAUCCUUGCGUGCUGCCCAAAUAAUUAUUACUUGUCCAGUUCAGAUCAUGUCAUUUCCCUGCUCAAAACCCUCCGUGGCUCCCCAUUGCUGAAGGAGCAAACACAAACCCCUCGUUCUGCUAUUUAAGUCUCCCUCUCUGUCUCUCUUCUCCAACUCAGCUGCACUGAAAUCCCAUCAGUCUGUGGUUUCCCAGAGGGAUCCCUACAGCCUUGUUCAUUGUUGCUUCCCUGGUGCCUCGUAUAGCUCCUGGUGCGUAGUAGGCACUUGGGAAGGGGGAAAAAUAUAAAAGAAGGGAGGAAUAAAAAGUGCCAACUUUUCCUACCCUCAACAUAGCCUUUGCUUCAGUUUCCUGUGAGACAAAUUGGAGUUUGACAUCCCUCCUCAAGAUGCCUCCUCCAAGACCAGGUAGGUGCACACCUCAACUCCUGCCAAAUUCUUCCUAUCCUUAGAGCGCUCAAUGCAGAUGCCACUUCCUCCAGUAAGACUUCCUAGAUACACUAUUUAAAACAAAUAUCUCUCUGUUCUAGAGUUCCCUGUGGCUGAGCUGUGUGUGCAGAGAGCACCUUUCUCUCUCCUUGGGAAGCCCUUUGAAUGUAGAAACUCUGCAUUCCUCAUUCCUGUGCCCUCCCUCUCCCCAGUGGCUAGGACUUAACACCAAAGGGUGCUCAGGAAACAAAUGGAAGCAGGGCACUAACCAACUCCAGGAGGACUGGGAGCAUGUUUCCCGCUGAAUCCCUGCCAUCUUGACCACUGCCUGGCAAGAGAAGACACUCUACCAACAUUUUUUUAGGUGCAGUGAGAUUAGUGGUAAUUUAAAAAGCAGGAUUGCCUCUGUGUCAAUUUCCCGCUAAUGAGCAAAACUCGCCGUGUAAUUGCUAUGUAUUGAACGAAGCAACAAUACAUUUUCAGUGGCUGUUUAAUAUGCUGGGGCUUGGUUUAACAGAUGUUCUGAGACUCGCUUUCCAAGACGGAGGAGCCAAGCCCAGAAGAAGAAGGUGACAUUUCCCUUUCUUUUGCCUCUGUCCAGUGCUGCAUCCCUUGGAGGGCAUGAGGCAAGGCCACGUGAGACACAGUCGGUGCUAGAUUCCUGGAGGCAGAGCUGAGGGUAGGUCUUGAAACCAGCGAGGGUAGCAAGCAGAGGAAGAUGACGAUCCAUUCCUCUUCUGAUCUUCACUAUAAGGGGCACCAAGCCCUGGGUCAUGACAAGGUCUUAUAUUUAGCAUGGACUUGCAACCAGUAAGUGCUGUCCCUUGCUAGCUCUGUGACCCUCUCAUGUGACUUUAACCUCUCUUGAGUCUCAGCUUCACCAUCUUUCGAAUGGGGAUAACACGUAACAUAUCUCAUGAGGAUGAAAUGAUGAACGAACAGGGCCGUUCCCCUGCCUGGACACUCUUCUCUAGAGUGUCUGCAUGUCUCUCUCCCUCACUUGGGUGCAUGGACGCCUACUGUCCAUUGCCCUCCUCUGUCUGCCUCUGGCAAAUGCUUUGUGCUGGGGGUUGGUGGAUAUGAAGGUCAAAUGUCACCAUCUUCCUAGGCCUUUCCAGAAUGCCCUCUUGCCUGCUCUCUCCUUGACAUGCUCCACGUUUCUCCCAUAGCACCUGACACCCUCCAACACUCUGUGUUAACUCACAUAUUUUUGUUUGUUUGUUUCUCACCCUCUGUCUCUCCUUAUUAGAAGGUAAGCUCCACGAGGGCAAGGAUUUAUGGCCUUUUUCUUCCAUGGAUGACUCUGAAACGCCUAGAACAGUACCUGGCACACAGUAGGUGCUCCACUAAUGCUGAAUGAAUGAUGCAUGUGGAAGGCUGAGUCUGGUUCCCACAACACAGUAGUAGCUCAAUAAUGAUAGCAUAUAACAUUAUUAUUUAAUUAUUAUUAAAUUGCCUCAAGCAAUUUUGUGUCCACUGUCUGUCAGGACUGGAUGGGACCAGAUGCCAUUAACUACAUACUCAGUCCUCCCAACAACCAAGUAUAAGGCAGGUACUAUUAUCGUGCCCAUUUGACAGAGGCUCAGGAAUGACUGCCCACAUUCACACAGUUGACAAGGAAUAGGGGGCUGAUUCAGCAUCACACCUAGGCCUGAGUCCCAAGUCCUCUUUUCAGGACUUGGGUGCCUGAAUGUGGGACGUACCUGAUGAAUGGGACUCUCCUUCCAUCAAAGAGGAGGGGCUGUUUGGUUUGAGCCUUUGAAAAAAAGUCAAACACAAGAGGAGAGAGGGUAUAUGAGACAGAGGGAACAGCAUGAGCAAAGGUGUGGGGGUCUACCAGAUGUAUUUCUUGUGCAUCCUCUAUGUGCCCAGCCCAAGGCAAGAUGCAAUGGUGUGUGUGUGUGUGUGUGUGUGUGUGUGAGUGUGUGUGUGUGUGUGUGUGUGUCUGUAUGUGUGUAUGUGU